GACGAACGCUGGCGGCGUGCUUAACACAUGCAAGUCGAACGGGGCACUUGUUUUCGGAUAAGUGUUCAGUGGCGGACUGGUGAGUAACGCGUGAGUAACUUGCCCUUCAGUGGGGGACAACAGUUGGAAACGACUGCUAAUACCGCAUAAUGUACAGAGGUGGCAUCAUUUUUGUACCAAAGAUUUAUUGCUGAAGGAUGGACUCGCGUCUGAUUAGCUAGUUGGUGAGGUAACGGCCCACCAAGGCGACGAUCAGUAGCCGGACUGAGAGGUUGACCGGCCACAUUGGGACUGAGAUACGGCCCAGACUCCUACGGGUGGCAG
RNAcentral lists this ribosomal RNA (324 nucleotides) under uncultured bacterium. Its description in RNAcentral is "bacterial SSU rRNA". It matches the Rfam family "Bacterial small subunit ribosomal RNA", at positions 28 to 351 of the family's 1533-position model. The record is from RNAcentral.